Long non-coding RNA from Atta colombica, 507 nucleotides. RefSeq lists it as uncharacterized. The transcript has 2 exons. The record is from RefSeq and is a predicted model, not a curated record. NCBI's taxonomy places the organism in Eukaryota, Metazoa, Arthropoda, Insecta, Hymenoptera, Formicidae.
GUUGUACAGUGACGAGUGCGGUAGUGCCUCAUCUGGUAUCGUACCAGGUGUACUCUCUUUCUUUCUCGGUCUCUGUGUCCUUGGUACUCGACGGAGACCGUGAAGGGACCGGAUACGUGAAGAACUUUGGGAAAUUCUCCUUUUUUGAACCAUCAGGUGGCAAAUACGACGGUCGCGUGUAUACGACGAUCACGAUCACGGAACGGACUCAUAAUGGGAGGAAAGCGGAGGGAUUAUGACGCGAAAGGAGAAACUCGCAGAGACUCGGCUUGCGUCUUGUACACGAUUUAUAUUGAUAUUUUUAUCCUGUAAUAUUAUCCAAAAAUGAUCAGAGAAAGGAACGAUCUGCGAAGAUUUCUUAGUGAAGCAGAAAAUCAUUUUACCGCAAUACUUGUACUAUAGAAAUAAUGAGAAAAUAUUGUAUACAUAUUGUGGUACAUUAGAUUUAAAAAAUGGCCAGCGUAAAGGAUGAAUGGAUGUGUGUGAAAUAAAUUAAUGAUAAAAAAA